GGGCGUGUAGCUCAAUUGGCAGAGCAGUGGCCUUUUAAGCCAUAGGUUAGGGGUUCGAUUCCCUUCACGCUCA
Molecule: transfer RNA, 73 nt
Filed under: Anaerolineae bacterium
Lineage: Bacteria; Bacillati; Chloroflexota; Anaerolineae
Also listed under: 1 other name
Description: tRNA-Lys
Rfam family: tRNA
About the family: Transfer RNA (tRNA) molecules are approximately 80 nucleotides in length. Their secondary structure includes four short double-helical elements and three loops (D, anti-codon, and T loops).
Source: RNAcentral